ACGUAUACAGGGUAUUCUAUGCCUGCUUCCCGGCUUAUAACGCUACUACCGCUUCUGCGAAAAUGGACUUUGAGGGGCUUCUGACACACGACGCGUUGCGCCCGUUGGUGAGCGAGUUUGCGCUGCACCUCAUGGACCACUCCGACACGGCCUCCCUCAUUUCUCGGCUGCCACCGCCGAAGAUGGCGAUGCUGUAUCACGCCGCGCUCCUGCGUUCCUCGACAGCAGUGUCAACCCAAGGCGAGUUCACGCACGGGGCAGAGCGCCUGUGCGCUUCGGUGUUGGAUGCCUACGCGCUUCGCGACGGUGGUGUGAAGGGGGAAACACCAGGAAUGGACGGUGCGCGCAUGCGGUCUGUUUGGACAAUUACCGCUGAAGAGGCUCCUGCAGCGAUGAUCAUCUGUCCAGCGCUCUGUCAACGUCUUGUCGAAGCCGAAGGCAAGCAUCCUUUCCUGGAGGAGGCACUCGCGGCGAGAGAGGCGCGGCUGCAGCACCGCAUCGUGACGCUGGCUGCUGGCGUUGCCCCUGCCUCGUCCAUUUCGCCGGCCUCGCCAGCACCUCCGUGAUGUUGGGUGAGUGGAGUUGUAUGGCGCCCCUUUCUUGCGAAUACUCGAACAGGGGUACGUGCCCUUUCCUCUCUUUGGACUCGCUGUCGAGAACACUCGGCAGCACUGCUGGCUCUGGGGGACGGCACGUCCAACGCCCGUGCCACUCACACCAGAUGUGGAGAUGUCCCACGGGAUCGUGUGUUCGCCGUUGUGUUUUUUUUUUGUUUGUUCUUUUCCCACUCUCCCUCUGUGUCUGCUCUCUCUGCUACGUCACCGCCGCUGCGGUGGUGGUGAACCUUUUUUGUGUCUGUUUGAUGGCUGUUUGUCUGUUAUGCCGCCUUCUCGUCCCCUGUUUCGUUGCACUCGUACUCUUGUGCGGUUUGCCGCGUGCGCUUCUUGUCUUCCUCAUCUCGCCUUCACCGCACCCUCCCCCCUCUCUCGGAGUGCCACUCGCGUCAUCAACGUGCGCAAGGAAAGGUAUGCGGUUUAUCGCCAUCACGAGCCACAAGAAGACGGACUUCUUCCCCCGCCGUCCCCGGAUAUUGUUUGCCGUCUCACUUGUUCGCCCUUGCCUGCCCCCUGCUGGAGUGAUUUACCGCGAACGCAAAGCUUCCACCGGGGGAACGCGAAAAAA
RNAcentral lists this unclassified non-coding RNA (1182 nucleotides) under Leishmania donovani. Its description in RNAcentral is "gene:LdHU3.36.0560(CDS-product:hypothetical_prote in)". Lineage: Eukaryota; Euglenozoa; Kinetoplastea; Trypanosomatida; Trypanosomatidae. The record is from RNAcentral.